AUUGAACGCUGGCGGAAUGCUUUACACAUGCAAGUCGAACGGCAGCACGGACUUCGGUCUGGUGGCGAGUGGCGAACGGGUGAGUAAUGUAUCGGAACGUGCCCAGUCGUGGGGGAUAACGUAGUGAAAAUUACGCUAAUACCGCAUACGAUCUAUGGAUGAAAGCGGGGGAUCGCAAGACCUCGCGCGAUUGGAGCGGCCGAUAUCAGAUUAGGUAGUUGGUGGGGUUAAGGCCCACCAAGCCAACGAUCUGUAGCUGGUCUGAGAGGACGACCAGCCACACUGGAACUGAGACACGGUCCAGACUCCUACGGGAGGCAGCAGUGGGGAAUUUUAGACAAUGGGCGAAAGCCUGAGCCAGCCAUUCCGCGUGCAGGAUGAAGCCCCUCAGGUUGUAAACUGCUUUUGUACAGAACGAAAAGGUUUCUACUAAUACCAGGAGCUCAUGACGGUACUGUAAGAAUAAGCACCGGCUAACUACGUGCCAGCAGCCGCGGUAA
This 500-nucleotide ribosomal RNA is filed under the name uncultured bacterium. Its description in RNAcentral is "partial 16S ribosomal RNA". It matches the Rfam family "Bacterial small subunit ribosomal RNA", at positions 30 to 523 of the family's 1533-position model. The record is from RNAcentral.